GGUUAAGUUAAUAAGGGCGCACGGUGGAUGCCUUGGCACUAGGAGCCGACGAAGGACGUGACAAACGACGAUAUGCCUUGGGUAGCUGUAAGUAAGCGAUGAUCCAGGGAUUUCCGAAUGGGGGAACCCAACAGGUAAUACCUGUUACCCACAUCUGUUAAGGAUGUGAGGAGGAAGACGCAGUGAACUGAAACAUCUAAGUAGCUGCAGGAAGAGAAAGCAAAAGCGAUUGCCUUAGUAGCGGCGAGCGAAACGGCAGAAGGGCAAACCGAAGAGUUUACUCUUCGGGGUUGUAGGACUGCAAUGUGGACUCAAAGAUUAUAGAAGAAUGAUUUGGGAAGAUCAGCCAAAGAGAGUAAUAGCCUCGUAUUUAAAAUAGUCUUUGUACCUAGCAGUAUCCUGAGUACGGCGGGACACGUGAAAUCCCGUCGGAAUCUGGGAGGACCAUCUCCCAACCCUAAAUACUCCCUAGUGACCGAUAGUGAACCAGUACCGUGAGGGAAAGGUGAAAAGCACCCCGGGAGGGGAGUGAAAUAGAACCUGAAACCGUGUGCCUACAACAAGUUCGAGCCCGUUAAUGGGUGAGAGCGUGCCUUUUGUAGAAUGAACCGGCGAGUUACGUUAUGAUGCGAGGUUAAGUUGAAGAGACGGAGCCGUAGGGAAACCGAGUCUGAAUAGGGCGCCUUAGUAUCAUGACGUAGACCCGAAACCAUGUGACCUACCCAUGAGCAGGUUGAAGGUGCGGUAAGACGCACUGGAGGACCGAACCAGGGCACGUUGAAAAGUGCUUGGAUGACUUGUGGGUAGCGGAGAAAUUCCAAACGAACUUGGAGAUAGCUGGUUCUCUCCGAAAUAGCUUUAGGGCUAGCGUCGACAUUAGAGAUUCUUGGAGGUAGAGCACUGUUUGGGUGAGGGGUCCAUCCCGGAUUACCAAUCUCAGAUAAACUCCGAAUGCCAAUGAAUUAUGGUCGGCAGUCAGACUGCGAGUGCUAAGAUCCGUAGUCGAAAGGGAAACAGCCCAGACCACCAGCUAAGGUCCCAAAAUAAUUGUUAAGUGGAAAAGGAUGUGGGGUUGCACAGACAACUAGGAUGUUAGCUUAGAAGCAGCUAUUCAUUCAAAGAGUGCGUAAUAGCUCACUAGUCGAGUGACCCUGCGCCGAAAAUGUACCGGGGCUAAAACAAUUUACCGAAGCUGUGGAUACCUUUAUAGGUAUGGUAGGAGAGCGUUCUAUGUGUGAUGAAGGUAUACCGUGAGGAGUGCUGGAACGCAUAGAAGUGAGAAUGCCGGUAUGAGUAGCGAAAGACAGGUGAGAAUCCUGUCCACCGUAAGACUAAGGUUUCCAGGGGAAGGCUCGUCCGCCCUGGGUUAGUCGGGACCUAAGGAGAGACCGAAAGGUGUAUCCGAUGGACAACAGGUUGAUAUUCCUGUACUAGAGUAUGUAGUGAUGGAGGGACGCAGUAGGCUAACUAAAGCAGACGAUUGGAAGAGUCUGUCUAAGCAGUGAGGUGUGAAUUGAGUCAAAUGCUUAAUUCUAUAACAUUGAGCUGUGAUGGGGAGCGAAGUUUAGUAGCGAAGUUAGUGACGUCACACUGCCAAGAAAAGCUUCUAGCGUUUAAACAUACUCUACCCGUACCGCAAACCGACACAGGUAGUCGAGGCGAGUAGCCUCAGGUGAGCGAGAGAACUCUCGUUAAGGAACUCGGCAAAAUGACCCCGUAACUUCGGGAGAAGGGGUGCUGACUUAAAGUCAGCCGCAGUGAAUAGGCCCAAGCAACUGUUUAUCAAAAACACAGCUCUCUGCUAAAUCGUAAGAUGAUGUAUAGGGGGUGACGCCUGCCCGGUGCUGGAAGGUUAAGAGGAGUGCUUAGCGUAAGCGAAGGUAUGAAUUGAAGCCCCAGUAAACGGCGGCCGUAACUAUAACGGUCCUAAGGUAGCGAAAUUCCUUGUCGGGUAAGUUCCGACCCGCACGAAAGGCGUAAUGAUU
This 1985-nucleotide ribosomal RNA is filed under the name Streptococcus pneumoniae. RNAcentral's name for it is "partial 23S ribosomal RNA". It matches the Rfam family "Bacterial large subunit ribosomal RNA", at positions 1 to 2009 of the family's 2925-position model. The record is from RNAcentral. Lineage: Bacteria; Bacillati; Bacillota; Bacilli; Lactobacillales; Streptococcaceae.